Molecule: ribosomal RNA, 497 nt
Filed under: uncultured bacterium
Lineage: Bacteria
Description: partial 16S ribosomal RNA
Rfam family: Bacterial small subunit ribosomal RNA
Source: RNAcentral
GAUGAACGCUGGCGGCGUGCCUAAUACAUGCAAGUCGAGCGAACGGACGAGAAGCUUGCUUCUCGGAUGUUAGCGGCGGACGGGUGAGUAACACGUGUAUAACCUACCUAUAAGACUGGGAUAACUUCGGGAAACCGUAGCUAAUACCGGAUAAUAUUUUGAACCGCAGGGGUCAAAAGUGAGAGACGGUCGUGCGGGCACUUAUAGAUGGAUCCGCGCUGCAUUGGCUAGUUGGUAAGUUAACGGCUUACCAAGGCAACGAUGCAUAGACGAAGUGCGAGGGUGAUCGGCCACCCUGGAGGUUAGCCACGGUCCAGAGUCCUGCGGGAGGGAGCAGUCGGGAACGUUACGCAAUGGGCGAGAGCCUGACGGAGCAACGCCACGUGAGUGACGACGGUGUUCGGAUCGUAAAACUCUGUUAUUAGGGAAGAACAUAUGUCUCAGUAACUGUGCCCAUCUUGACGGUUCCUAAUCAGAAAGCAACGGCUAACUACGUG